This is a long non-coding RNA of Thamnophis elegans (Western terrestrial garter snake), 1369 nucleotides long. RefSeq lists it as uncharacterized. The record is from RefSeq and is a predicted model, not a curated record. NCBI's taxonomy places the organism in Eukaryota, Metazoa, Chordata, Lepidosauria, Squamata, Natricidae. The transcript has 2 exons.
CCAAGGCUGGGAAACACUGUUCUGGGAUAGGCUGCUAGUCCCGCUCCACGUAUAUGCUGAUUGAAGAGCAGCCGCAGAAUACUUAUCCACGAAUAAGUGCUCGGUUAUUCGACUCUUUGUGUUGCAGUCAGUGCUUCUGAAGCCGCCACUAUUCCAACAUUUACGGUCCGCCUCUGUCAAUCCGGGUACCUGCCCAAAGUGAUGGAAGCUGACAAUGUGGUUGCCAUGGAGCAUUAUCAAGCAAGUCUAAGAAGACUGUUGCAAAAGCUAAAUACCUACUGUGAUCUUCUCUAAAUAUCAAUAAAACCAAAUUUAAAGUACUCCUUUUUGCUAAAGUAUUUAGCAAAAAACUGUGAAAUAUAACUGGCAGCUGGAUGUAGAGUCCAUUGAAAAUAGUGAAUUUUUUCAGCUAUUUAGAAAUGGCUUUUACCAAAAUGGGAUCAUAGGCAAAUCAUUUUAAAAGAAACUUGGUGAAGUCUGAGACAAGUAUCAAAACAUUAUAUAAAUUGCUUAAUUACAGUUAACCGAGGACCUUGGCCCCCAUAAUGAAAAUAAUUAGGGCAAAAAUAAUCUCAGUGCUGACCUAUAGCACUGAACUGUGGGUUUUACAAAAACCAUUUCACUUCAAUUUCCAAUCUGUUUUAUAAGAAGCAUAUUGGCAACAGACAAGAAAAUUGUAGCGCUCAGAGCAGAAAUAGGUAUCCAUUCCAUACACAGCUACUCAGCUAUUAAAAAGUUUUUAUCUACUGGUAAAGGAUCCACUCAAUGGAUUCUGAUACCCAAAAUAUGUUUAGCUGAACAAAUAAGUAUGGGUCAGCCCAACUCCUGGGUAAGCUGUCUUACCAAAUUAUUUUACGGCUUUUCUAUCCAAUAUUUACUCUCCACUGCCUUAUAUAUAUAUAGCCUUUAUUGUCAUUGUACAAAAUAAAUACAACGAAAUUGCCUUCCAGGCAAAGUACAAUUUUUAAACGGAGUCCUAGAUAUGGUAGCAGUACCCAAAUAGACAUGAAGUUCAUGGCAAGAAAUUUAUCUUUGAAUUGGUUGGCUAAGAAUAAAAAUACUUUCAAAACAAAAAAAAAACUGUCAAUGAGUUUGAAGCCAUGCCUAAGAAACCUAUUCUAGAGCAAAUUUUGAGCUGUUGGAUUUGGUGGCCAAAUAUGGUCACUGCUAUCAUUGGCCAUAUCAUGAGAAGAUAUAUGUAUGUUCAGUGUCCCAGCCAAUAAAGAUAUUUCUCAUGUUUUUUUCAAUUGUCAAUUGAACAUCCAUUUGGGAUUAGGAAUUUGAAAACCUUACUUGAAAGAACAGCCCACUGGGACUUAAAUUGCACACUGUGAUAUUUCUUCCUGGUCUCUAAUAUAUGCAUUAUUAG